RNAcentral lists this ribosomal RNA (507 nucleotides) under uncultured bacterium. Its description in RNAcentral is "bacterial SSU rRNA". It matches the Rfam family "Bacterial small subunit ribosomal RNA", at positions 28 to 536 of the family's 1533-position model. The record is from RNAcentral.
GACGAACGCUGGCGGCGUGCCUAAUACAUGCAAGUCGAGCGGGGAUUAUGCUUGAUCGCUUCGGUGAGACGGCAUAUAUCCUAGCGGCGGACGGGUGAGUAACGCGUGGGUAAUCUACCUCGUAGUUCGGGAUAACAGGCCGAAAGGCUUGCUAAUACCGGAUGAGUUCAUGCUUAUGCAUAUAGGCAUGAAGAAAGGGCUAGCCCGCUAUGAGAUGAGCCCGCGUCCCAUUAGCUUGUUGGUGGGGUAAUGGCCUACCAAGGCAACGAUGGGUAGCCGGCCUGAGAGGGUGUACGGCCACACUGGGACUGAGACACGGCCCAGACUCCUACGGGGGGCAGCAGUAGGGAAUUUUCGGCAAUGGGCGAAAGCCUGACCGAGCGACGCCGCGUGAGGGACGAAGGCCUUCGGGUUGUAAACCUCUGUCUGGGGGAUGAGAACGGACGGUACCCCGGAGGACGCCCGGCUAACUACGUGCCAGCCGCCGCGGUAACUACCCUCGUCUCU